CCUACGGGCGGCAGCAGUGAGGAAUAUUGGUCAAUGGGCGCGAGCCUGAACCAGCCAAGUAGCGUGAAGGAAGACUGCCCUAUGGGUUGUAAACUUCUUUUAUAAAGGAGUAAAGUCAGGCACGUGUGCCUUUCUGUAUGUACUUUACGAAUAAGGAUCGGCUAACUCCGUGCCAGCAGCCGCGGUAAUACGGAGGAUCCGAGCGUUAUCCGGAUUUAUUGGGUUUAAAGGGAGCGUAGGUGGGUUGUUAAGUUAGUUGUGAAAGUUUGCGGCUCAACCUUAAAAUUGCAAUUGAUACUGGCCGUCUUGAGUACAGUUGAGGUAGGCGGAAUGCGUGGUGUAGCGGUGAAAUGCUUAGAUAUCACGAAGAACUCCGAUUGCGAAGGCAGCUUACUAAGCUGCCACUGACAUUGAUGCACGAAAGUGUGGGUAUCAAACAGGAUUAGAUACCCGAGUAGUC
Molecule: ribosomal RNA, 460 nt
Filed under: uncultured bacterium
Lineage: Bacteria
Description: partial 16S ribosomal RNA
Rfam family: Bacterial small subunit ribosomal RNA
Source: RNAcentral